This 465-nucleotide ribosomal RNA is filed under the name Vreelandella stevensii. RNAcentral's name for it is "partial 16S ribosomal RNA". It matches the Rfam family "Bacterial small subunit ribosomal RNA", at positions 338 to 795 of the family's 1533-position model. Lineage: Bacteria; Pseudomonadati; Pseudomonadota; Gammaproteobacteria; Oceanospirillales; Halomonadaceae. The record is from RNAcentral.
CCUACAGGAGGCAGCAGUGGGGAAUAUUGGACAAUGGGGGGAACCCUGAUCCAGCCAUGCCGCGUGUGUGAAGAAGGCCCUCGGGUUGGAAAGCACUUUCAAUGAGGAAGAACGCCUGGUGGUUAAUACCCAUCAGGAAAGACAUCACUCACAGAAGAAGCACCGGCUAACUCCGUGCCAGCAGCCGCGGUAAUACGGAGGGUGCGAGCGUUAAUCGGAAUUACUGGGCGUAAAGCGCGCGUAGGUGGCUUGAUAAGCCGGUUGUGAAAGCCCCGGGCUCAACCUGGGAACGGCAUCCGGAACUGUCAAGCUAGAGUGCAGGAGAGGAAGGUAGAAUUCCCGGUGUAGCGGUGAAAUGCGUAGAGAUCGGGAGGAAUACCAGUGGCGAAGGCGGCCUUCUGGACUGACACUGACACUGAGGUGCGAAAGCGUGGGUAGCAAACAGGAUUAGAUACCCUUGUAGUC